GCUGCGUCGGUGCAGGCAGGGGAUUGAGCUCGAACUAGCUCGAAUAAAGGCUCUUUUGCUUUUGCAUCGGACUCGGCUCCCUAGUGGUCUUUGGGGAUCACGAAUUCUGGGCAUAACAGUAGCAGAAGGGAGAAUGGAUGGCAAGCAGGUAAAGGCGAGAAAGAUCUCCUCUACCAGGAAGUCCAGAGAUUCUGAGAAGGUCAUGAGAUUUUGUGCUUACUGGAUCGACUGCUUCGUUUACAACCUACUCAGCAACUCACUCAAUGAUAGAGCUUACAGAAAAAAUUCAGUGUGUGGGGAUGGGAGGUUUUGUCCUCAUGUAUGCACCGCCCUUACGAUCAUGGGGAGCUCCACAUCAAGGAGCACGCCUGUGCCGAGUGCCACAGGGAACAGCGUUUAGCAACACCAAGCAGGGAGAGGCAGAGAGCAGCGUUAACUUCACGCAGGACUUGGAAAUUGGCUUCGUCUGAUGGCAGGAGAUUGUGUGUUUUUAUGGUGUUAACUGUGGAGGGGUGAAAAGCAGCCGGCGCUCAGGAGCGCAAACGCAGCUCCUUCCCAGGAGCCCUGGUGCUCUGUGCUGUGGGAGCAUGUGCCGGAAGGGGUACCGGGGGAGAGGAGGGAUGCUUUGCGGUGCGGGGACGGGCUCGCAGGAGAUGAGGUGAUAGCGAGCAUGCACAAGGUUUGGCCUGAGUGGAGGGGAUGAGUGGGGGAAGCGUUGUGUCUCAGGCAGAACCAUUUUAGCCACCCACACGUUUACCCCACAGACCACUGAAACCAGAGACAGUCCAGCGCAGAGAGGGGAAGCCAGCAGUCACAGAAC
This is a long non-coding RNA of Felis catus (domestic cat), 820 nucleotides long. RefSeq lists it as uncharacterized. Lineage: Eukaryota; Metazoa; Chordata; Mammalia; Carnivora; Felidae. The record is from RefSeq and is a predicted model, not a curated record. The transcript has 3 exons.